This 76-nucleotide transfer RNA is filed under the name Caudoviricetes sp. Its description in RNAcentral is "tRNA-Pro". It matches the Rfam family "tRNA". Rfam says of the family: Transfer RNA (tRNA) molecules are approximately 80 nucleotides in length. Lineage: Duplodnaviria; Heunggongvirae; Uroviricota; Caudoviricetes. The record is from RNAcentral.
CGAGCAGUAGCGAAAUUGGUAUCGCGCAGCGUUUGGGACGCUGAGAUUACGGGGUCGUACCCCGUCUGCUCGACCA